RNAcentral lists this ribosomal RNA (511 nucleotides) under uncultured bacterium. RNAcentral describes it as "partial 16S ribosomal RNA". It matches the Rfam family "Bacterial small subunit ribosomal RNA", at positions 28 to 523 of the family's 1533-position model. The record is from RNAcentral.
GACGUACGCUGGCGGCGUGCCUAAUACAUGCAAGUCGAGCGAAUCGAUGGGAGCUUGCUCCCUGAGAUUAGCGGCGGACGGGUGAGUAACACGUGGGUAACCUGCCUGUAAGACUGGGAUAACUUCGGGAAACCGGAGCUAAUACCGGAUACUUUCUUUUCUCGCAUGAGGGAAGAUGGAAAGAUGGUUCUGCUAUCACUUACAGAUGGACCCGCGGCGCAUUAGCUAGUUGGUGAGGUAACGGCUCACCAAGGCAACGAUGCGUAGCCGACCUGAGAGGGUGAUCGGCCACACUGGGACUGAGACACGGCCCAGACUCCGACGGGAGGCAGCAGUAGGGAAUCUUCCGCAAUGGACGAAAGUCUGACGGAGCAACGCCGCGUGAGCGAAGAAGGCCUUCGGGUCGUAAAGCUCUGUUGUUAGGGAAGAACAAGUACGAGAGUAACUGCUCGUACCUUGACGGUACCUAACCAGAAAGCCACGGCUAACUACGUGCCAGCCGCCGCCGUAA